Molecule: ribosomal RNA, 490 nt
Filed under: uncultured bacterium
Lineage: Bacteria
Description: partial 16S ribosomal RNA
Rfam family: Bacterial small subunit ribosomal RNA
Source: RNAcentral
AUUGAACGCUGGCGGCAGGCCUAACACAUGCAAGUCGAACGGUAACAGGAAGCAGCUUGCUGCUUUGCUGACGAGUGGCGGCCGGGUGAGUAAUGUCUGGGAAACUGCCCGAUGGAGGGGGAUAACUACUGGAAGCGGUAGCUAAUACCGCAUAACGUCGCAAGACCAAAGAGGGGGACCUUAGGGCCUCUUGCCAUCGGAUGUGCCCAGAUGGGAUUAGCUAGUAGGUGGGGUAACGGCUCACCUAGGCGACGAUCCCUAGCUGGUCUGAGAGGAUGACCAGCCACACUGGAACUGAGACACGGUCCAGACUCCUACGGGAGGCAGCAGUGGGGAAUAUUGCACAAUGGGCGCAAGCCUGAUGCAGCCAUGCCGCGUGUAUGAAGAAGGCCUUCGGGUUGUAAAGUACUUUCAGCGGGGAGGAAGGGAGUAAAGUUAAUACCUUUGCUCAUUGACGUUACCCGCAGAAGAAGCACCGGCUAACUCCGUG